Molecule: unclassified non-coding RNA, 20 nt
Filed under: Mus musculus (house mouse)
Lineage: Eukaryota; Metazoa; Chordata; Mammalia; Rodentia; Muridae
Description: oocyte_clustered_small_RNA9250
Source: RNAcentral
UACAGUAGCCGAGCGACCAA